RNAcentral lists this long non-coding RNA (3495 nucleotides) under Xyrichtys novacula (pearly razorfish). The record is from RNAcentral. Lineage: Eukaryota; Metazoa; Chordata; Actinopteri; Labriformes; Labridae.
GCUUUGAAUUUCUGUUUCGAACUUCCACUAUUAAAAAGUAGAACUAUAAGGAGCUACAAGAGCAAGCACUGUCAGGCAAACUUCAGUUUAACAGUGAAGGCUGUUGGCCCUCUAUGACAGGAUCCUGGGCUCUAAUUGUGACGGGACACACAGGGUUGGAAGAAAACCCUAGGGCCAGGGAAAGACCCUUUCUUUCAAUGCGCUUAUACAAAGCCAAUUCACAGAUUCAAGAAAAAGCAGGAGAUGUGUGUUUGACUCACAGGUAAGAUUUGUUUAUUUAAAGCUGCCACGACUCUCAAGUAAGAAAUACAUAAAAGAAAGAGGGAGCACCAUUAGUUACAAUCGUGUUAUUUCCACAGGUACAUAAAUAACUAAAAACAAAUGACACAUAACACCAAACAUCAGAACCAGAACAUUAUUGCAGGGUUGCUAUAAUAUUAAAUACCUGGGUGUUCUUCUGUUCAACAAACAUGCUGACAAUGUGUUAAAGACAUUCCUUUGCAUUAAUGCCCGGCGUCUCCUUGCACAACGUCUCUGCCACCUCUGGUGAAGCAAGACGCCCUUUGUUCUCUCUGGUCAGCCACUCUCUGUGCGCUGUGGAACAAUGAAGAUUGUGCUCCAAAUGAGUGAGUGACAGACAGUAAUUUUCCCUCUUUUUUUAACCAUUUGGUUCUCUUAGCUAAAGUCCCCUGUGAACGCUAACCCACCAAAUGCACAUUGCGGCACUGUAAACCUUUGGUCCUUGAUCCGGACCUUUUAAGCAUACUUUGGGUGAGAAAGACCCCUCAGUCUAUCUGUGGCAGGGUGUGCUAUUUCCUGGAAAUCAAAGAAACAACCUACAGUUGCUUUAUCCACAUGUGAAACAGAAUAUAUUGCACUGUCAGCUACAGAGAAGGAAAGCCUGUAUCUUGUACAGUUACUGAAUGCAAUGGACAGUGAAGGUGAAUACUCAUCACUGAUUAUUUUUGAGGACAAUCAGAGUGCGAUUGUUUAAACAGCAGACAUGGUGGCAUAUAUUUCAACUAAGUCUGUAACUAAGGUCAGGAUUGAGAAACAGUGUUUUAUGCUUGGUGUAAAGGGUUAAACAAAAAAAAGGUAUUCUCAUGUCAAGAAAAUGUUGUGUCAGUAUAAGAGCAAGUGGGGAUGUUAAAAUGAUGCAGAUUUUUUGUGUUCUUGACACAGACCCAGAGCUGGCCCAAGCCUCAAUGGUGCAAUAACCAAAAUUUGACUUUGGGGCCCUCUAUUCCUGCCAAUAAUAUUGAUUGUUAAUCAUUCAAACACCUUCACAAAUCUCUUUGAUUACCAUACCAUGACAUGCAAACACACCUUUUAUCUUGGCAUUUUUCUCUUUCUUCCUCUUUCUUUUCUCUGCUCCUGAAGGAUAUGUCCUUUUUUGCAACAUUGUUUUGCCCCACAACUACAUGCGCUUUGGGAGCUCAGUGCACACUGCACAGCAAAUAACGGUAGCAGAGCUUUGACAUAUCGGCAGUAAGAAUCAUAGGCCUACAUCAGCAGCAGCACUAAAAUGUUUUUACUUUAUUUUAUUUUAUUUUUACAAUGAUAUAUAUUUGAUCAUACAGAAAGCAUCGUUCAUGCAUGCAAAAAAUAAAAAUUAUUAUUAUUAUUAUUAUUAUUAUUAUUAUUAUUAUUAUUAUUAUUAUUAUUCUAUUGCUGUUUGGGGCCCCCUAUUGGCUGUGGGGCCCUAAGCAGGCACUUAGUUCGCUUAUGCCUUGGGCCUGCUCUGCACUGACGUUGUUGUCCUGGUGCACAGGUGUUUCUAUCAGGUUAAUCAAUAAAUGACUGCACCUGUGACGAUCAGGUGUUCCCAGUCAAACGCAAUCUGAUGGCUGUGAGUCUGUGUGGAUUAUUUCAUUCACUUGCCAUAGGCUAUGCCAGUCCUUAGGAAAUUGCAGAUUCAACAUUUGAGAUACUUAAUUUGAACUGAUUUAAAAAGCAGCCUCACCGAACGAUGACAGCACUGCACUUGGAUUUGUAAUGCAUUAUCAAGAUAUCAAAUUUCUUCAAGACAAUAUUUCUCCGACUUCUUCCCAAAAAAUCAUUGGAGCUGUAAAACUGUUUGGUUUAAAUUAGAGCCAACCUGCUCCCUCAUAAUCAGAAUCGGCAUCAGCCACUGAAAAACUGUAUUCAGUCGACCUCACGCAACACAAAUAAAAAGGAAUUCCCAUCAACAUUUUUCAUAUUUUCAUCAAACAAAACCGUUGGAACAAAGGAAUUUAAAAACAUAUUAAAGAAUUGUGCAGAUGCUUUAAGAAAAUGUUGGUAAAGCUACACAGCCCAGUGCAGUGUGACAGUGGGCCAAGACUUGUCCUGUGAACAUCUACGGUAACAGAUCAGUAGGAACUGAUAAAUAAAUAAGAGAAGCUGACUAUAAUGGCCUGCAUUUUGAAACCUAUUUUGCAGAUGUAAAACUGUAAACAGGAAUUAAGUCGUGCUUAACCAGCAAUCACAGGGUUGUAGGAGGAUUGGGCUCAGAGUGUAACCACACAGGGGCCAACAGCACGUCGGGGGACAUAUUUCAGUUUCUGGCCUCAACUACAAAGAGGAAAUGACUGAAAGUGUGAAGCUUUAUUCUCAGGCUUCUACAAAGAUGAUUUUUAGAACUGACAGGUGAUACACCCACAACAUGAGGCAAUUUAAGAAACUGACUGUGAAAGUUUUAAAAUAGCUUUUCUUUAUAUGUGUGAAUUCAUGUGUUUCUGCUAUUCAUGUAUAACACAAAGUAAUUUUCGCUGCACCUUGUGUAUUGACAAUAAAGACUUUUCUAUUCUGUUCUAUUCCAUCUUAAAAGCUAUCAAGUCAGAAGUUCAAUAUUUGAAACUUAUAAGUAAUGUAAAUGUUGCUUUUUUUCUACUGACCCACAUGAUUUAGUUUCAGAAAUAUAAUUCAACUGUAAUGACUUAUUUGUCUUGGGUUUACUAGUUUUGUGAGAAAAUACAGAUUAAUUUAAAAUAUGGAAAAAGAUCUCUUGAGAUACCUGGUGUCAUGGCCCAGCUCACAAGGUCUUAGGAAAACAGUAAGACUUUGAUGCAAGUAAAGCCGAGAUCUAUUUAAAGAUUUACUGAUGUUGUUCAAAAAGCUGUCCAUAAAAGAGGUUAGAUUAGCACCCCAACACAAUGAAAAAGCAUGAAAGUUAUGAGUUGAUAACUCAUUUUAACCAUCAAUUUAGUCAUUUCUCAUAUGUUCUCAUUUUCACAUACAAUUGUUUUGUAAUUUACACCAAAGGGCAAUUUUUUUGCUUAUAUUUCACAGGUAUUCAAAUUUUCUGAAGGUUAAAAAUUGCCUUCGCUGUCCAUACCUUUACGGCUAUGGGACAGCAUUUUCAGAAACAAUUUGUUGAUCUUUAGAAGUUUAUUGUCACGCUAUGACUUGUUGAGAAGUGGAACUGCAGAGCAUUUUUAAGAGAGACAGUUAAGCUUUAUUUUUUACACAGUAUCAGUUGGGGUUUUUUUUUAUAACAUUAAGUUACUUCUGUCA